This 1044-nucleotide long non-coding RNA is filed under the name Marmota monax (woodchuck). Lineage: Eukaryota; Metazoa; Chordata; Mammalia; Rodentia; Sciuridae. The record is from RNAcentral.
CAGCACCUGGCCUUGGUGCUUGGAGGAGACCCAAGACAUCCUAUUGCAGAGGUACCACAGGGGUGCUGCUAUGGGGUGCAGAGUGCAGCUCACCAGCUGCAGGAUGAGGCAGUGACCGCCAGAGGAAGAGCCAGAGGAGUCCAGUCCAGUAUGUGUGGAGUGCAAGUAGAGGAAAGGCUGCAGGAAACCCUGUCAAUGAGAAGAGUUGUUUUAGACAAUUACAGAUGACAGGAGUCAUGAAAAUAAGAGAAUUUAGUUCUCAGUAUACAUGGGGAGAAAGCAGCCACAUGGUCCCCAGGGACCUGCUUUUCCACACCAUGGCCCUGCCACAGCCUUGCAAAUGUGGAGCUGCGAGUCCAAGGUCUACUAGAGGUCUGUCUGUCUGCUUUCACUGUGCUCUGCUCUACCUUUGAGUCAUCGUCUCCAUCCCCAUCUGCAGGCUGCAGGAACCAUGCACUGGGAAGAGAGCCAAUUGGGAACCCCACUGGAAAGUGUGUGUGUUUUCAUUUCCUGAAAGACUUUAAAAUUCAAAUGGUGUUUGCCUUGUGCAUGACCUGUCCCCACCCCUGCUUUUUCUCUUCUGCACCCACAGUGCUUCUCCUUCCUUGUAGCCAGUUCUCCUCUGGCCAACAGCAUGAGCAGGGAUCAUACCUGGCAAGUACACACGUUGAUGUUUUCCCGGGUCUGUGUCUGGCUGAGCUCGCUCAGUUCACGUGAGAGCAAGGAGCCUUCCUGUGAAAAACUCAUGUCUAGGGCUCACAACUGGAAUUCACUGAUAGGUUUUGGGGGUUUCAUGGUUCCCUCAUUCCUCACAUUGUGUGCAAAAUUCUGUGUUCUCUGUGUAGCAUUUCAUUACUUUUCCUAGGUCCUCAAAGCAUCCCCAGAAGGUUAACAUCUGCAUGAACACCGGAGGCCCAUCUCUUGAAGGUCAGCGGCAGCUGAACUCUGAAUGGAGCUGGAGGCCAAGUGUCAUAAGGGCCGGGACCAGCACCAGAGUGGAGCAGAGUGAAGGGGCAGCUCCUGUUGGCCUUUACAAACUUCUUU